Molecule: ribosomal RNA, 380 nt
Filed under: uncultured Bacteroidota bacterium
Lineage: Bacteria; Pseudomonadati; Bacteroidota
Description: bacterial SSU rRNA
Rfam family: Bacterial small subunit ribosomal RNA
Source: RNAcentral
GAGUUUGAUCAUGGCUCAGGAUGAACGCUAGCGGCAGGCCUAAUACAUGCAAGACGAGCGGUAAGUGGUGUAGCAAUACAUUACGAGAGCGUCGUAAGGGUGCGUAACAAGUAUGCAAUCUGCCCUCAACUGGAGGAUAGCUCCCCGAAAGGGGAUUAACACUCCAUAGAAUUGUUUGGUGGCAUCACUGAACAAUUAAAACUCCGGUGGUUGAGGAUGAGCAUGCUUCUGAUUAGUUAGUUGGUGGUGUAACGGACCACCAAGACGAUGAUCAGUAGGGAACUGAGAGGUUGAUCCCCCACACUGGCACUGAGAUACGGGCCAGACUCCUACGGGAGGCAGCAGUAGGAUAUUGGUCAAUGGAUGCAAGUCUGAACCAG